UGGGGAAUUUUGCACAAUGGGGGAAACCCUGAUGCAGCGACGCCGCGUGAUUUAGAAGGCCUUCGGGUUGUAAAAAUCUUUUUUACGGGAUGAAAAUGACAGUACCGUAAGAAUAAGGUCCGGCUAAAUACGUGCCAGCAGCCGCGGUAAUACGUAUGGACCGAGCGUUGUCCGGAAUCUUUGGGCGUAAAGGGUACGUAGGCGGCCUAGUAAGUUAGAAGUGAAAUAAUAUAGCUCAACUAUAUAAAGCUUUUAAAACUGCUAGGCUUGAGAGAUGGAAGGGAAAGUGGAAUUCCUAGUGUAGCGGUGAAAUGCGCAGAUAUUAGGAAGAAUACAGGUGGCGAAGGCGACUUUCUGGUCAUCAUCUGACGCUGGGGUACGAAAGCGUGGGUAGCAAACAGG
This 402-nucleotide ribosomal RNA is filed under the name bacterium. Its description in RNAcentral is "partial 16S ribosomal RNA". It matches the Rfam family "Bacterial small subunit ribosomal RNA", at positions 355 to 776 of the family's 1533-position model. The record is from RNAcentral.